RNAcentral lists this ribosomal RNA (422 nucleotides) under uncultured cyanobacterium. RNAcentral describes it as "bacterial SSU rRNA". It matches the Rfam family "Bacterial small subunit ribosomal RNA", at positions 358 to 795 of the family's 1533-position model. The record is from RNAcentral. Lineage: Bacteria; Bacillati; Cyanobacteriota.
GGAAUUUUCCGCAAUGGGCGAAAGCCUGACGGAGCAAUACCGCGUGAGGGAAGACUGCCUAUGGGUUGUAAACUUCUUUUCUCGAAGAAGAAGCCCUGACGGUAUUCGAGGAAUAAGCAUCGGCUAACUCCGUGCCAGCAGCCGCGGUAAUACGGAGGAUGCAAGUGUUAUCCGGAAUUAUUGGGCGUAAAGCGUCCGCAGGCGGUCUUGUAAGUCUGUCGUUAAAGCGUGGAGCUUAACUCCAUUUCAGCGAUGGAAACUGUAAGACUAGAGUGUGGUAGGGGCAGAGGGAAUUCCCGGUGUAGCGGUGAAAUGCGUAGAUAUCGGGAAGAACACCAGUGGCGAAGGCGCUCUGCUGGGCCAUAACUGACGCUCAUGGACGAAAGCCAAGGGAGCGAAAGGGAUUAGAUACCCCAGUAGUC